This 440-nucleotide ribosomal RNA is filed under the name uncultured bacterium. RNAcentral's name for it is "partial 16S ribosomal RNA". It matches the Rfam family "Bacterial small subunit ribosomal RNA", at positions 338 to 795 of the family's 1533-position model. The record is from RNAcentral.
CCUACGGGUGGCAGCAGUGGGGGAUAUUGCACAAUGGGGGAAACCCUGAUGCAGCGACGCCGCGUGUGGGAAGACGGUCCUCUGGAUUGUAAACCACUGUCCCCAGGGACGAAGAUGACGGUACCUGGGGAGGAAGCUCCGGCUAACUACGUGCCAGCAGCCGCGGUAAUACGUAGGGAGCGAGCGUUGUCCGGAAUUACUGGGUGUAAAGGGAGCGUAGGCGGGACUGCAAGUUGGGUGUCAAAUCUACCGGCUCAACCGGUAGCCGCACUCAAAACUGCAGUUCUUGAGUGAAGUAGAGGCAGGCGGAAUUCCUAGUGUAGCGGUGAAAUGCGUAGAUAUAUGGAAGAACACCAGUGGCGAAAGCGGCUCUCUGGUCUGUAACUGACGCUGAGGUUCGAAAGCGUGGGUAGCAAACAGGAUUAGAUACCCCAGUAGUC